UAUGGCCAUAUCACUUUGAAACACUAGUUGCUGCAUGAACACUUAAGUUAAGCAAUGUCAAGCCUGGUCGUACUUAGAUGGGUGUCCGUUUGGGAAUACCAGGUGCUGUAA
Acanthosepion pharaonis is the source of this 111-nucleotide non-coding RNA. NCBI's taxonomy places the organism in Eukaryota, Metazoa, Mollusca, Cephalopoda, Sepiida, Sepiidae. The record is from the annotation of a GenBank genome assembly.